Hemiscyllium ocellatum (epaulette shark) is the source of this 692-nucleotide long non-coding RNA. RefSeq lists it as uncharacterized. The record is from RefSeq and is a predicted model, not a curated record. NCBI's taxonomy places the organism in Eukaryota, Metazoa, Chordata, Chondrichthyes, Orectolobiformes, Hemiscylliidae. The transcript has 2 exons.
UCCAUGCGGAGGACGAUCUCGGGGUUUUAAAGGGCAGCGAGGAAGGGUUUUUCGCGUGUGUAAUGUUGUGGAGCGUCUCGGGAUGUGUGUCCCGUGUAAAGGUCACAUCUAUUGGAAAAUAACAAAGGUGACUUCCUACUCCAGGACGUGGAGGAGGGAGGGAGACAAAGCAAGAAACUACAGAUUAACAACUCUCAUAGAAAAAAUGCUGAAAUCUUCAAGAGGAUAUAAUAAAGCAUUUGAAAACCUAAAUGCAAUCAUGUAACAUCAACGUGGCUUUAUGAAAAGGAAAUUAGAUUUGACUAACUUUUUGGAGAUUUGACAAUGUUAUGUAACAAAUAAUGUGGAUAAAUGGAGCUUGUGGCUGUGCUGUAGAAGUUUGAGAAGGCAUUUGAAUGGUGCCACAUAAGAUGUGGAAGCAGAUGUAGGCCAUUGAGCCUGCUGCACUAUUUAGUGAGAUCAUGACUGUGCCAUCUCCAUGUACCUGUAUAUUUUACUUUUUCUGUUCAUGAUCCAAUUCCCUCUUGAAUGCCUCAAUUGAAUCUGCCUUCACCCCUCCUUGCCAAAUGCUAAAUACUGCUGCAUUUUAAAAAAGGUUUUUCUCAAGUUAUCAUGGCUUUAUUUUUGUUCAUCAUGUGAAAUCUGUGUAUUCUUGCUUUCAAUAUUUCCACCAAUAAAAAGAGAUGAUCCCU